CUCUUACCUCAUAUAUGGCCCGUUUUGCUGAAGUACCGUGGUUCUUGAUGGUCUUCACCGCCACCGUCUUGUUGUCAGUAGUCUUCCGGCAUUUGACAACAUUACCGAAGGCGCCUCGUCCCAGAACUGAAAGCACGUCGUAGCCGGAUGAUUUGGAGUGAAUUCGGGCUCCGGGAGAAAACUGAUUGUCCUCGGAGCCAGAGGAGUCCAUCCUUGGGGGGACCGGGUGGUGGUGGUGGAGGUGGUGGUCCGACUGUACGCCCGGCUCUUCUGACGAGGACAUGGACGCCCCAGUCAACUCGCCUCGGAGGUUCUCCACCCGUAGAAGACGCAUUCUAGUAAAUAUACCGUGGGUGUAGCUUUAUCUUUCAGAUGCUUUAUGACACCAUGGUUCGUACCGCCACGUAUUAUAAUCGUAAAGGACACGGGAAGGUGUGUCCAGAAGGGUCCUCAAAGUCCACCCUACUCCCCGCUCUCUGUCCACCUGAGCACGCAUGACGUAACACUCGUAGUCGGGCUUCUCCUUUGCUAACUGUCUGUGACGAACCCCGAGACUUUUUCCUUAUGGAUUCGGCACAGCGGAUCUUGUUUUGAUCCGCAUACUGAAAUUGGACAAUAUGGGAACUUUAAACCAGUCCAGGGAGUACACCGCCUCACGCCUGAAGACAGCUGGGAUAGGCUUAGCAUCACCCCAGUGAUGACAAGCAGUACAGAAAAUGGAUGGAUGGAUGGGACAUAUCCUCCCAAAAUCACCACAAGUUAAGCACGUACAAACUAUAAUUUCUUUACAAUCUGAUAGGCCUACCUGCAGGAACACUAAAAUGCUGUGAACAUUCUUACUUUCGAAAUGAAACCACAAAUGGGAAUGAUAUACAGUAAACAGCAGUUGUCCUCAAUAGGCAGGCCACAUGACCCAAAUAAUGAAACCACUUAGUCUCACAGAAAAGUGCUCAUUUAUGCAAUACUUCUUCUGCAAGUGGCUUUUUCGCGCAGUGGGGACAAGUGGAUGGGGAUUCAAACCCUGUGGGUUAUAUUAAAAGAGGUACUAUCCGGCCCAAAUUCUGUUCUCCCUUGUACGAAUGUAAUUGAGGACCCCUGGUAUUCAGAAUUAUUGGGUGGCAUGUAAUAGUCUAGUCGUCACAGGGUGGUCAAACAAGCACAGUUGUAGUGAGAUGUCAUUUGGCACGAGAUGCAGUUAGCUAAUUAAUUUAUGCUGAAAAUUUGGGGUAGAAAUGUUCCCAGUUGGUGUAUUAUUUAAUAAUAUUGGGCGUGUCCUGUCAUGUUAUUAAUACACUGAGUCGAGUUUGUGAGUCGAGCUGUGGUUGUAUUGCAAAGCAUCCCUCUUUGCAGCCUAUUUGCUUGGAAACCGGAACUGGAAGCCAUUGUUACCCAACUCCGUCACUUAUUUUGACACUAUAGUUCUUUGCAAACUAAUACAUUUACAGUAUGCCACAACUCUCUGAUCAAGAAGGUGAGAAAUACAAUUGAAUUAAAGAAAUAACUUGUAGCAUAACAUAAAUGUGGUACAUGGUACAUGUGGAUCUCUCAGUGUCAUUUCUGUCAACAGUUAAGUCUUCAUUCAAGGUAAAAAAAUUAUAUUAAAUGUUCAUUUCUUUAUGCAAAACUAUAUGAGUCACCCAUAUUUGUAAAACUAUUUACAAAAAAGGGUUUUCUGUGAACAUCAGGGUGUCUGAAACAGAUUGAUUUGAGAUGCAUUAUUUCUUAAUGUAAAAACUGAUUCAGUUUGUGUAUGUUUUGGUUUGAGUCAGGCCUUUUAGAAUGGAAUAAUGAUGCUAACCGAGGCUCCACUGUAUGGUUUUCCACAGCAAAUAACAUGGCAUAAAAUACAAACCCAUUUUCUAACACAUCGUUUCACCCAAGACAAUUAUUUAAUGUAAAAAAAAAAAAUGUUUUUAUUUUUCUGGGUCUGUGGCAGUUAUAGGACAGUAAAAUACAGAAAAGCCAGUAAAAACUGAACUGUCUUUUGCGCGGAAAUAAAAACAAUGGCCAAACAUCAAUUUAGACCAAAGACGUUGAAACGGCUUCUCUCACCAUUACUAUAUUCCUUUUAACCCCUGGACUAAUGUCAUUCGGGGUCAGUUUUUUAUUUGUUGUUUUCCCCGUCAGAGCAUGAUUUCAUCAGGGCACUGGGCUGAGUGGUCUGUCACUACAAGACUAAGUAUAUGUAUUGAUUUAUUGCUUGGUUUUAUUUAUUGUCUUAUUGUGUAUAUGGCUUGUGCAGCACUAUGGUCAACCCUGCUUGUUUGAAAAUGCGCUAUAUCAAUCAAUACAUUUUGACUUGACUAGCA
Doryrhamphus excisus (bluestripe pipefish) is the source of this 2309-nucleotide non-coding RNA. Lineage: Eukaryota; Metazoa; Chordata; Actinopteri; Syngnathiformes; Syngnathidae. The record is from RefSeq and is a predicted model, not a curated record.